GAUGAAGAACGCAGCAAAAUGCGAUAAGUAAUGUGAAUUGCAGAAUUCAGUGAAUCAUCGAAUCUUUGAACGCACAUUGCGCCCGCCAGUAUUCUGGCGGGCAUGCCUGUUCGAGCGUCAUUUCAACCCUCAAGCCCUCGGGUUUGGUGUUGGGGAUCGGCGAGCCUUUCUGGCAAGCCGGCCCCGAAAUCUAGUGGCGGUCUCGCUGCAGCCUCCAUUGCGUAGUAGUAAAACCCUCGCAACUGGAACGCGGCGCGGCCAAGCCGUUAAACCCCCAACUUCUGAAUGUUGACCUCGGAUCAGGUAGGAAUACCCGCUGAACUUAAGCAUAUCAAUAAGCGGACGA
Molecule: unclassified non-coding RNA, 346 nt
Filed under: soil metagenome
Description: partial contains 5.8S ribosomal RNA, internal transcribed spacer 2, and large subunit ribosomal RNA
Rfam family: 5.8S ribosomal RNA (bases 1-120)
Source: RNAcentral